Molecule: ribosomal RNA, 407 nt
Filed under: uncultured bacterium
Lineage: Bacteria
Description: partial 16S ribosomal RNA
Rfam family: Bacterial small subunit ribosomal RNA
Source: RNAcentral
AUUGAACGCUGGCGGCAGGCCUAACACAUGCAAGUCGAGCGGAGCGGCGGACGGGCGAGUAAUGCCUAGGAAUCUGCCUGGUAGAGGGGGAGAACGUCCGGCAACGGGCGCUAAUACCGCAUACUAUCAGAUGAGCCUAGCGGGGAUUAGCUAGUUGGGGGGGUAAAGGCCUACCAAGGCGACGAUCCCUAGCUGGUCUGAGAGGAUGACCAGCCAAACUGGAACUGAGACACGGUACAAACGCCUACGGUAGGCAGCAGUGGGGAAUAUUGCACAAUGGGCGCAAGCCUGAUGCAGCCAUGCCGCGUGUAUGAAGAAGGCCUUCGGGUUGUAAAGUACUUUCAGCGGGGAGGCGUUACCCGCAGAAGAAGCACCGGCUAACUCCGUGCCAGCCGCCGCGGUAAUUC